This 239-nucleotide ribosomal RNA is filed under the name uncultured bacterium. RNAcentral's name for it is "partial 16S ribosomal RNA". It matches the Rfam family "Bacterial small subunit ribosomal RNA", at positions 92 to 334 of the family's 1533-position model. The record is from RNAcentral.
CGAGUGGCGGACGGGUGAGUAAUGUCGGGGAAACUGCCCGAUGGAGGGGGAUAACUACUGGAAACGGUAGCUAAUACCGCAUAACGUCGCAAGACCAAAGAGGGGGACCUUCGGACCUCUUGCCAUCGGAUGUGCCCAGAUGGGAUUAGCUAGUAGGUGGGGUAACGGCUCACCUAGGCGACGAUCCCUAGCUGGUCUGAGAGGAUGACCAGCCACACUGGAACUGAGACACGGUCCAG